GUCCACGCCCUAACGAUGGCAACUGGGUGUUGGGAAGCGAUUCCUUGGUACCGUAGCUAACGCGUGAAGUUGCCCGCCUGGGGAGUACGGCCGCAAGGUUAAACUCAAAGGAAUUGACGGGACCCGCACAAGCGGUGGAUGAUGUGGAUUAAUUCGAUGCAACGCGAACAACCUUACCUACCCUUGACAUGUCUGGAACCCUGCUGAGAGGUGGGGUGCCCGAAAGGGAAUCGGAACACAGGUGCUGCAUGGCUGUCGU
This 259-nucleotide ribosomal RNA is filed under the name uncultured bacterium. RNAcentral describes it as "partial 16S ribosomal RNA". It matches the Rfam family "Bacterial small subunit ribosomal RNA", at positions 793 to 1055 of the family's 1533-position model. The record is from RNAcentral.